Molecule: ribosomal RNA, 253 nt
Filed under: uncultured bacterium
Lineage: Bacteria
Description: partial 16S ribosomal RNA
Rfam family: Bacterial small subunit ribosomal RNA
Source: RNAcentral
UACGUAGGGGGCAAGCGUUGUCCGGAUUUAUUGGGCGUAAAGAGCGUGUAGGCGGCUUUACAGGUCCGUUGUGAAAACUCGAGGCUCAACCUCGAGACGCCGGUGGAAACCGUAAAGCUAGAGUCCGGAAGAGGAGAGUGGAAUUCCUGGUGUAGCGGUGAAAUGCGCAGAUAUCAGGAAGAACACCUAUGGCGAAGGCAGCUCUCUGGGACGGUACUGACGCUGAGACGCGAAAGCGUGGGGAGCGAACAGG